This 440-nucleotide ribosomal RNA is filed under the name uncultured bacterium. RNAcentral's name for it is "partial 16S ribosomal RNA". It matches the Rfam family "Bacterial small subunit ribosomal RNA", at positions 339 to 795 of the family's 1533-position model. The record is from RNAcentral.
CUACGGGCGGCAGCAGUGGGGAAUUUUGCGCAAUGGGGGAAACCCUGACGCAGCAAUACCGCGUGAGUGAAGAAGGCCUUUGGGUCGUAAAGCUCUUUUCUUGGGGAAGAUAGUGACGGUACCCAAGGAAUAAGCACCGGCUAGACUCCGUGCCAGCAGCCGCGGUAAUACGGAGGGUGCAAGCGUUGUUCGGAUUUACUGGGCGUAAAGGGCACGUAGGCGGCACAGCAAGUUAAGGGUGAAAUCCCGGGGCUCAACUCCGGAACUGCUCUUAAAACUGCUGAGCUAGAGAUAGUCAGGGGCGGGUGGAAUUCCAGGUGUAGAGGUGAAAUUCGUAGAUAUCUGGAGGAACACCGGUGGCGAAAGCGGCCCGCUGGGGCUAUUCUGACGCUAAGGUGCGAAAGCGUGGGGAGCAAACGGGAUUAGAUACCCGGGUAGUC